Non-coding RNA from Salmo salar (Atlantic salmon), 2008 nucleotides. The record is from RefSeq and is a predicted model, not a curated record. NCBI's taxonomy places the organism in Eukaryota, Metazoa, Chordata, Actinopteri, Salmoniformes, Salmonidae.
GGGCCUCGAUCAGUGCACGUUUGAGGGUGUUGAAGGCCUCCUCACACUCCACUGUCCAAGUGAAGGCCUUGUCCUUCGGCUGCAGGUGGUUCAGGGGAGCAGUGACGCUUGAGAAGCCCCAUACAAACCUCCUGUAGUACGAGGCCAGGCCCAGGAAGCUCUUCAGCUGCCGCUGGUCAGUGGGGGUGGGCCAGUCUCGGACAGCCCCCACCUUGUCCUCCAUGGUGCUGAUCCCCUCCUUCCCCACUCAGUGGCCCAAGGAGGACACUUCUCUCCUCAUGAAGUGGCACUUCUCGGGUGGACCUUCAGACCGGCGGCAGCCACCUGCUCCAGCACACAUCGUAGCGCCACCAGGGCUGACUGGAAGGAGCUGCCAUGGGCCAGGAUGUCAUCGAGGUAUACCAGACAUUGCUGUCGGGGUAUGCCAUCCAGCACCCUGUCCAUCAAACGCUCAAAAGUAGCUGGAGCAUUGCACAGGCCGACGCACAGGACCUUGAAUUGCCAGUGUCCUCUGUUAGUGGAGAACACAGUUUUGGCUCUGGCCUCUGGGGAGAGGGGCACCUGCCAGUAGCCACUGCGGAGGUCUAGUGAGGAGAACCAGGAGGACCCCUAACCAGGUCCAGCGACUCAUCGAUACGUGGUAUGGGUUGAGUCCUUCCUGGUUACCUCAUUCAGUCGCCUGUAGUCCACACAGAACCUCAGCUUGCCCCCCUUCUUAGGAACCAUGACGACUGGCGCCGCCCAGGGGCUGUCUGAGGGCUCGAUGAAGUCUGCCCGCUGCAUCUCCAACACAGCCUUGUCUGCCGCCUCCUGGCGUGCCAGCGGGAUACGGCGGGGACGCAUCUUGAUGGGUCGAGCAUCACCUGUGUCGAUCUCAUGCUGCACCAGAUGAGUCUGACCCACCUCUUCCUCACUCAGCGCAAAGCUGUCUCUGAAUUCAAACAGCAACUACCACAACGGUUCCUGCUGCUCGGGGUCAAGACCAACACAGUUCCUCUACAAUAUUAACGUUGGUUGAGAAAUAUAGAAGAAUAAUAAGAACAUACAGAAGAAGUAGAGACAAUAUUUCCACAGCUCUACAAGCAUCAUAUUUGAAAUGUAUCAAGGGAUGACACAGAGACCUCUGGCUCUGAGUAAAACAGUGAGCCAGAGCUGCCAGGAGAUGUCAUCAAGCCCCUCCCAACUGCAUCAAGCACCAGAUAUGCUGUUCCAAAAGGACCCAAUGGCAUUUCAAGAUCCAGAGAAGAGGGUCCUGUACAGCCGUGUCUGAAAACAUUUCCCAGAACUCAGCAUGGUACUAGGAAAAUGGGCUUUCAACAGCUCCUGGUAUAAGGACAAUUCAUGGCUUGAAUAUUCUGUAAAUCAAGAUUCAACUUAUUGUUUCGCCUGUAGGCAUUUUUCUCAAUAUCAGUGCUAUGUAUGCUUGGAAUCAGCAUAAAACGGCUAUUGACAGCAACUCAUCAAUGUUAGAUGUCAUAAAUGAUGACCGGAAAAAGAAAGUGAAGGAAAACUGUAUUUACAUUAAAACAAUUUCAGAUGUGCUCCUAUUAACUGCCACUCAAAAUAUAGUGCAGAGAAGUCAGAGAGUCUGAUGACUCUCACAACAAGGGUCAUCUUCUGACAAUCUUAGAAGAAAUAGCAAAGCAUGACCGUCUCAAAGAGAAAAAGAUGAAUGCAUGUGGCAAUGCUAAGUACACAAGCCACCAAAUCCAGAACAAAGUUCUUGAGGGCUUAGCUGAGGUGGUACAAAGUGAAAUAAUAAGAGAAGUAAAAGAAAGUGAAGUUUGGCUAGGUGCUAAGUUUGACGUUUUCUAGUGUGCUUGAACAACCUUAACAAAAAUGUAUUUUCCUUUUUCUCUCUCGCGCCGUUUUCCAUAUACCCUUGGCACUUUUUAGUUAUUUAGUUCACCUUUAUUUAACCAGGUCGGCCAGUUGAGAACAAGUUCUCAUUUACAACUGCGACCUGGCCAAGAUAAAGCAAAACAGUGCGACAAAAACAACAACAACA